ACGUCUUUAAGCUUUACGGUUAUUUUAUGUUAAAUGUAUACUAAUUGUUAAGCUAUUAUGUUUCCAUUGUUAAUCAUCUUUUAUGCUCAUUAAUAGUUCCUGUGUUAAGUGUGGUCGGUUCAUUUACUGAAAAGUCUGUUCUGUAAUCAAAGGUUUCUAGUUUAACUGUAAUGGCUUUCCUUUUUUCUUAUAUUUUUAUGCAAUAGAUUUCACAUUCUGGACUUCGAUGACUUUAUUUUGAAAUGGUUGUUGUUUUUUACAAGCAUGUUGUAGUUGAAAGUCACCAAGAAGAGCUCAUCAUGAAGGAAACAAGAAAAAUGUCUAACUCAAUGAAAGUAAAUGUCAUUUAUUAUCAUAAUGACGAUCAAGACAUAACCGAUAACCAAGUUAGAUGAUGCCACCGACAUGUUCCUAAUGUUAAAAGUUAAAAGUACUGACUACUUUACUAACUGGAAUCUACACACGGUUUAAAGCUAAAGAAAGAAAGAGAAACCUAAAGCGUUGUCAAAGUCAAGCCUUUUUUGCCAAAAAUGUAUACCAAUGGUGGAAAUCUUAUCGGCAAAAGUAAACAACUUUGUCCAAUAAAGUCUAAACAAGAAAAACGUUUUGUUACCCGUUAGCAAAAUAUUAUCUUUAAAAUGGAGAAAAGACUAUCAUAAUCAUUUUUUGGCGGGAUAUGAGUGAUUUAUUAAUAGGAUGAAAUAACUAUCGAUAAUGGGUUGGCCAAAUUUUCAUGAAAUGUUCUGAAUUAAACUGAAAGUUUAGCUGAAAGUUUAUUGGCGUACACAAGACCAUUGCAGGAAGCCUUUUUGACCGGACAAGUGUGACUUUGUUAGCAUGAAAGUUUCUCCUUGUAUGGCUCUUGACUUGCUUAGGCAAUGAAACAAAAAAUUUAAUGUUGAUUAGUCUCUCUUUAUGGAGUUUUUUACUCUUUAUGGUUUGAUAUAGCUUGACCAUAUGAUGAACUAAAUGGUGAUCAUUAUGGGAUAAAGGUGAUGAAGAUGCUCAAAUAACAGUACAAGAACGGUAGCAUUGUCAGUAUGUUGUUUACCAUAAUGACCACGGAUACACACUGGUCAAGACUCGGCAGGAGGUAAAGAUCACCCAACAUUGAUUAUCCAUAUUGGGUAACUUUGUAGUCACUCAAGUUCCAAUUAUUGGUCUUGUAAAGUUUUACCCUAAAGGCAAAAGUCAACUUUGACCAAUAUUUCAAAAUGAAAUUACCAAAACUUCAAACAUCCCAUUGAUUAGUUGGAAAUAAAUCUCCGUAAAGGUGUCGAAGCUGUUGCUGGCCUUCAUAUUACAUGAUACGUUUUCACGCCAAUGAAUCAACCUUUAAAAUCAAUCAACUUCAUUACACUGUUUGGUGUCUAAAAGUGGAAUAUUAUCUAACAUUACUGGACAUUAUCAUUGACCAUUAAGUUUCUCCCAUCGAGUUAUGUAGACCAUUUCACUUCAAUCAAAGUUGAAUCAAUUUUGACGGUAAACAAAUGGAGAAAAGGCCAUUUUCGUUGCAUUUUUGCUUGAACCUUAUGCUAACCAAACCCUAAGAUCAUAAUCAUUAUGAAUGAUUUUAAUGAUGAACUUGACGAUGAGCAAGCCUGUUGAAGGAUUGAGAUGCUAUUAAUGAUGAUAUAAAAUGGUUCAAUUGUGCUUUGGUUCAUCCUUUGGUGGAAGCAAAAAAUCUAAAUGAGAAGAGCUGAAAGGAUGCAAAAAAGGCAACUCUUUGAUCACUAAUUAACUUAUGAUGGUGAUGAGACACAAUUAAUGGAAAGCUACUUGAUCGUAUUGAUAAUGAUGUUAAAAAGGUUGAAAAUAGUUUUACGGAAAAAGUUGGUUUCUUUUUGGGAUCAAAAGGUUUGGCCCCUUGUCAACAGACCUUAAUUUGUUUGAUAAUCUUGAUUAUCUUAAUGAUGGGAAAGGGUUAACAGCAUUCAGGUUAUGCGGUUUAUUUUUGUUGUUGUUUCGUUUUAACACUGUUAGAGAUUAAUUAGGUUUUACCUUGUUUAAUCAUAAUCAAACCUUACAACGUUAAUUAUGCUGCUUGUAACAACACAAUGUAUCAACCAUUGAAUACACCCAACAUCAGAAUGUUCAACUUGAAAUGUUUUCCUGAUCAAACUGUAUAACCAUGUUUAGCCAAUUACAUUACCCUGAUUAAGUGUAUUUGAAUGGCCUAAAGAAGAGCAAAUCAAAUUGAAUUGACUUGCAAUAACAUGACAACUCUGUAACAUUUGAAGCCUACUUUUGUUCAGACUCGCCAAGAAAUGAUAUUCAUUCAAAGUUUUAUCCAAAAUGUUUGAAAAUUUACUUUAACA
This is a non-coding RNA of Tetranychus urticae (two-spotted spider mite), 2318 nucleotides long. The record is from RefSeq and is a predicted model, not a curated record. NCBI's taxonomy places the organism in Eukaryota, Metazoa, Arthropoda, Arachnida, Trombidiformes, Tetranychidae.